CCUUGUACACACCGCCCGUCACACCAUGGGAGUGGGUUCCACCAGAAGUAGGUAGCCUAACCGCAAGGGGGCGCUUACCACGGUGAGAUUACAUGACUGGGGUG
This 104-nucleotide ribosomal RNA is filed under the name uncultured bacterium. Its description in RNAcentral is "partial 16S ribosomal RNA". It matches the Rfam family "Bacterial small subunit ribosomal RNA", at positions 1379 to 1482 of the family's 1533-position model. The record is from RNAcentral.